CCAUCUACUGGCAUUCUUUGAGUAGAAGAGUUCGACUUAAAAGAAUUAGAACUACCAAUCUCAAGCUCCACCUGCUUCUGUGCACUAUCAUUUAUACAACUAGUAGAUUCCUCUUUAGAAGAUAACAUAGAUAAUUCAUCAAAAGUAACAUCUCUACUGAUUACAAAUUUUGGGGAUUUGGGAUCAGAACACCAUAAUCUGUAUCCUUUCACCCCAGAUGCAUACCCAAGGAAAAUGUACUUUUUCGCUCG
Molecule: long non-coding RNA, 251 nt
Filed under: Musa acuminata (dwarf banana)
Lineage: Eukaryota; Viridiplantae; Streptophyta; Magnoliopsida; Zingiberales; Musaceae
Description: long non-coding RNA (MACU_LNC002801)
Source: RNAcentral